RNAcentral lists this ribosomal RNA (919 nucleotides) under uncultured Planctomycetota bacterium. Its description in RNAcentral is "bacterial SSU rRNA". It matches the Rfam family "Bacterial small subunit ribosomal RNA", at positions 41 to 935 of the family's 1533-position model. Lineage: Bacteria; Pseudomonadati; Planctomycetota. The record is from RNAcentral.
GGCAUGGAUUAGGCAUGCAAGUCGAACGAGGAUAUAUCCUUCGGGAUAUAAGCCGAGUGGCGCAAGGGUGAGUAAUGCAUAGAUUACCUACCUCUAGGAUAAGGACAACUUUGUGAAAACGAAGCUAAUACUUAAUAAUACAAAAGAAAAUAAUUUUCUUAUGUCAAUGGGAGGGUAGCAAUACCUUUUGCCUAGAGAGGGGUUUAUGUCCUAUCAGCUUGUUGGUGGGGUAAUGGCCUACCAAGGCGAAGACGGGUAGCCGGUCUUAGAGGAUGGUCGGCCACACUGGGACUGAGACACUGCCCAGACUUCUACGGAAGGCUGCAGUCGAGAAUCUUUCGCAAUGCCCGGAAGGGUGACGAAGCGACGCCGCGUGAGUGAGGAAGGCCUUCGGGUUGUAAAGCUCUGUUAGGAGUUAAGAAAUAUAAGUGUGCUAAUACCACAUUUAUUUGACGAAGGCUCCAAAGGAAGCCACGGCUAACUCUGUGCCAGCAGCCGCGGUAAUACAGAGGUGGCAAGCAUUGUUCGGAUUUAUUGGGCGUAAAGAGCACGUAGGUGGGUUUGUAAGUCAGAUGUGAAAGCCUUCUGUUCAACGGAAGAAUUGCAUCUGAAACUACAAGUCUUGGGUGUAGGAGGGGAGAAUGGAACUUCUGGUGGAGCGGUGAAAUGCGUAGAUAUCAGAAGGAACGCCGGCGGCGAAAGCGAUUCUCUGGCCUAUUACUGACACUCAGUGUGCGAAAGCUAGGGGAGCAAACGGGAUUAGAUACCCCGGUAGUCCUAGCCGUAAACGAUGGGCACUAAGUAGAGGGAAUUACCGAUGUUCUCUCUGCCGUAGCUAACGCAUUAAGUGCCCCGCCUGGGGAGUACGGCCGCAAGGCUAAAACUCAAAAGAAUUGACGGGGGCUCACACAAGCGGUGG